UCAAAAGACAAAAGUAUCGUUCUAUUUUAUUUAUCAACCAAACUACACAUUCAAGCAUGUUUUUUAUCCAAGUCCAAUCAAGUAUUUAAAUUCAAUGUGUGAGUUUUCUAGCUACAGUCAGUGAGCAAUGUGCAGAUAGAACCCAUUUUUGUGCAAAUUGAUAGGCUGGAUUUGGUUCUAAAGGAGAAUUCUGAUUAUAAAAGGCCGCCCGAGAAUCAUGCUAGCAUCACGCCAUCAAGUGCCUCUUCAAGGGGUAGUGGUUAUGGUUUUGCUGAUAAGAUAUCCGAUGGAAUGACUAUACAAAUUCAAACAGUUAAUUUAUUACUUGAAACUCAUGGGGGUGCUCGUCCCCAAGGGGGAGCAGCAUGGGCACCCCGCCUAUGGCAUCUGUCAGCAUCGGCAAUUUGUUGCUGUAUACCACAAAUGAUAGCUGGGAGGUAAUUAUGUCUCGGCUCGUGCUUACAAUUAAUUUGGGACACUUGGUAUAAAUAUUUUCCGUUUGCAUUAUCAGGUUGUAAAUCUUAAGGAGGCAAGGGAAUUCUCAAGUAAUACGAAGUAUAUAUAUGUAUUCAAAGUACUGCAUUACGCCUUUCAUUUUAUAUCUUAUGUGUGUAUGACCGAUAUUGGGAUAAAUUACCUUCUAAAUAUUGAUAUUCAAUGUCAUCUCUAUCCAUUCAUUGGUAUUUCUCACUAUGUAUAAAUUCUUAU
Long non-coding RNA from Arachis duranensis, 708 nucleotides. RefSeq lists it as uncharacterized. The transcript is spliced from 4 exons. NCBI's taxonomy places the organism in Eukaryota, Viridiplantae, Streptophyta, Magnoliopsida, Fabales, Fabaceae. The record is from RefSeq and is a predicted model, not a curated record.